UAGCCCCCAUUCUUAUUUCUCUCUCACAACACUAAUAAGAUCUGCAAGUCUAGAGAGAAAGAGAAAGAGAGAGAGAGUGAAAGCCGUGAGAGAGAGGAUCGAUGAUAGAGAGAUAGACGUGUGAAAGAUGUGGCAGCCGCAUGCGGCGGUGCAAGACCACAGCAGCCAUGGCUGCAGGUUGGGCGACAGGGAGUUGUUUUAGAUCUGGUUCGAUGAUGGUUCAGGGGUUUGGCGGUGAUUGGCGGCGGAAACGAUGGUUACAGGGUGGUGGAAUGCAGUGGUUAAUGAUGGCGGAGAAACCACAGACAAGGGGCAGAGGUGACACGAUUAGGGUUCCUCCUAAUCCUAUGGUGGCAGCGAUGUGGCGGCUCAGCCGUCUCCUGACGGUGGUGACAUUCUCAAGCAACGACAAUACAGAUCUAAAGCCUGCUAGGGCAUGAAACGGAUUCCGGUGAUUCGGGUGUGGUAUUCCAGCAACCAUGGUGGUUGACGGCGGGUUUUGGUGGUUCUUUCCGGUGGCAGCGGCUCGGGUUUAAGAUGGAUUCUCCAACGAUCUAAGGUUCAUGUAAGUGCACCUCUUGUUUCGCUACAUCUGAUUUCUUAGAUCCAUGGCAUUUGAGGUGUUUAAUAAAUUGUAUCGAAAUUGUAACUGUAAAUUGUGAUUACAUCUGUUCUUAUGUUGAUUGUUUGUGCACCCUAUUAAUAAAUGGGACAACCUUAACUAAAAUAUUAAACGCAUUUAACACCGAUUUCUAUGUAUGCCCGUGACAAUUAUAGAUAAGUGUUUAUUCAUCGCUAUUGUAGUCCACUCAAACCAAUUGAUUUUGAUAUUAUUGCUCCCAUUGCCACCAUCUUGGAUCCUUUCAACAAAAGAGGGCAGAUCAAUCACCGAAUUCAAAUCAUGUUUAACAUCCUAAAUUUCAAUCAUUUUCAUUGUUCAUGGGAAUUAUUAGUUCAUAAUGUUGCCACAACAACAACAAUAAUAAAAGGAUAAGGAUAGUGUAGCAGGCUACAUAUUAAAAUUUUUAGGAUGAUUAGUAAUGUUAAUGCUUGUAUUAUCAGGAUAUUGAUUACUCGCAUCAUUAUAGAACCCUUUAAUUGGUGGUGAAGAAUGCAAUACGAUAAGAUGAGACGACAUAGCCCAUUUUUCCAUUUAAACUACUUUAGGGUGAAACAUGUAUCUAUUUGCUAAACUGCAACGUUUUAACCUUUGACAAUUCAUGAUUAUGUCUUUCUUCAUUAUCAUUAUACAUCUUGUCUUAAACUUGCAUUGGUGAACUAACUAUUGAACUAGCAUAAUCAUUAACAUGACUAUUGUAAAUUAUAGCGCAAUAGUUCUGACAAACCUGUAAAAACCAUGAUUUUUAAUUAUGUAUUUUUGCCACCCAGUUUAUUUUCCCAUUAUAAUUGUACUCUCAGUUUUUAACCAAUAAAACACGUGGGAUUAUUUCAUCAUUUGCCAUCACAAACAUAUAAAUAUCCUUUUAAGUACAUAUGUUCAUAUUUAUAUAAAUGUAGAAGGAAGGGUAUUACAUAUUUAACUAAUAUUCAACUAUACAAUUCAAAUUAAUUUUACACAUAUAUAAUAUUUAAAAAUUAUAGUUUUAUAAACAGAAUGGAAUACGUUAUAAAACCUUAAGUUUUAAAAUUUCUUAAAGAGUAAAUUGCCAAAUCGUCCCUGAGGUUUGGACAUAUUUGUCAUUUUCAGAUGGGCCAUGUUGUCUAUUGUGUACUUUUUAGCAAAUCGAAAUUGCCACAAUGAGCCUAGUCAAGUUUGAUAUAUGAGGCUCAGGCUUGUUUAUUAAACGAGCUCCAAUCUAGGAUUGAGCUCGUUUUUUAAGCUUGGCUUGGUUCGAGCUUUUAGCAAACUGAUCUUGAGUAGCUCACUGGUGUAUCAGAUCGUUGUCACCCCUAGUCAAAUAGGUUGAAAGUCAUCUAAAGUUUUAUUAACAUAUAAAACCUCCUAAAUGGUUUCAAUUAACUAUUACCGAAAUAAUAAAAUAUUAUUUUUAUAAUCAUUUUGAUAUGUUAAGUUUCAAAGUUAAUGGACAAAAAGUGACAGGUCAACUCAACCUCGAGACUUAUUUCAACCUGUACAAAAGGAUUUGGUUGACCCGUACAUGUUACCCGACCUGGCCCGGCCACGUUGCCACCUCUACUUUAUCUCUUCUAGUGUUAAAUCUUAUCUAAUGCAACUUACAUGCUUGUUUGAGAUGAAGUUGAUCCGGAAUGGGAUUCAUCACAAACCACAGUUGGUCUGGAUGGAAAUAGUGACCUAGCUCACAGCGUGCUUGAGAACUGAUUUAGAAUGCAUUGGUGCAUCCAUCAUGGCCCUAUCCAUUUAUCUUGGUAGUCCAUGAGGAUUGAGCACGGAUGAUGACUCAAGAUUUUAUGCUUCUUAUUUCUUUAAUUGCUUUUAAUUUCUUUGUUAAAGGUUAAGACUUUAUGUUAGAUAAUGUUACAACUUAUUUAUGGUUAGUGUUUUUGUU
Helianthus annuus (common sunflower) is the source of this 2489-nucleotide long non-coding RNA. RefSeq lists it as uncharacterized. The record is from RefSeq and is a predicted model, not a curated record. Lineage: Eukaryota; Viridiplantae; Streptophyta; Magnoliopsida; Asterales; Asteraceae. The transcript is spliced from 3 exons.